UUAUGAACUCAAAUCAGGCAAGAGUACCCGCUGAAUUUAAGCAUAUUAGUAAGCGGAGGAAAAGAAAAUAACAAUGAUUCCCCUAGUAACGGC
RNAcentral lists this ribosomal RNA (93 nucleotides) under Smittium morbosum. RNAcentral's name for it is "partial 28S ribosomal RNA". It matches the Rfam family "Eukaryotic large subunit ribosomal RNA", at positions 1 to 90 of the family's 3401-position model. The record is from RNAcentral. Lineage: Eukaryota; Fungi; Kickxellomycota; Harpellomycetes; Harpellales; Legeriomycetaceae.